GUUGUACUCCCUCCGUCCGACAAAGAAUGUCUCAACUUUGAUUAAAUAUGAAUGCAUCUAUAUACUAAGUCAUGUCUAGAUAUAUCCAAAUUUUCACAAACUUGACACAUCUUUUGUUGGACGGAGGGAGUAUAUG
Brachypodium distachyon (stiff brome) is the source of this 136-nucleotide non-coding RNA. The record is from Rfam. NCBI's taxonomy places the organism in Eukaryota, Viridiplantae, Streptophyta, Magnoliopsida, Poales, Poaceae.